GUUAUAGAUACUUGUUUGCCACCUAUU
This 27-nucleotide non-coding RNA is filed under the name Rattus norvegicus (Norway rat). Lineage: Eukaryota; Metazoa; Chordata; Mammalia; Rodentia; Muridae. The record is from RNAcentral.